UCUUUCCUAUAGAUUGCAGCUCCCUUCGCUCUCUCUCUCUGUAAGUCUCCUGCCUUCUACCCUAAUGGUUGCGCGAUCUCCAGAUAUAUUGUGGUAGGAAAACGUGCAUGAGUUUUCUUCUGUGUCAUCAGUAAACGAGGAGGUCAUUUUCACUUUUAUAUAUUUACUGUCAUUACCAUAUGCAUUUAUGUUCACAUUUAUAUAUAUUAUAGUCAUUGCCAUAUGCAUUUACUAGAAAAACUGUAUUAACUUAUUUUUUUAGGAAUUGUUUUAAUAUUUUAGUCUUUUUUCUAAUUUGAAAUAAUGUUUUUUAUAUCUUAGUAUUGACAUAUCUGUUGGAAAAAAUCAACACCAGAGCAGUGUUGGGUCUUUUCUCUGUUCCUAUUGGGAUGAAAGAAUCUAAUGAAGCUCAUGAACUGUUAGCAGUAGUUAAUAGGGAUUAACUUUGCAAUCGCAAGGUUCAAAUUUUAUUGUCGGUGGGUCAGUAGGUUGAUAGGGAUUAAUUUUAAAAAUCAUCUUUGGACUUUCCACAUUUGUAGUUUUCUACUGGAAACGCGUUUUCCACAGGGCAAGUUUGGCACUCAAGUUUUUACCACCAGCCACUGCCCCUCUUCUACAAUAAUCUGAAAUGUUCACUGGCUCACUCGUAGAAAUCUUUGAUGCUGUACGAAGACUACAGGAUACUUUGUGCUAUACAAAUUAUUUAAUUUUACUGUAUUCUUCUACAUUGGUGGUGGCGCGUGAGAAAGACGCGCCGCCACUAUUCACCUGUUCAGAGACCUUCCUCAGCACUCAUGCAGUUUCAAAAAGCUUCCCCAGCUCUGUUAUGGAUUUUUGGGGGGUUUAUUUUGUAAUUUUUAAAUUGUUUAAUAUUUUUGAAUUGUUUAAUGUAUUGUUUUGAUUUAUUUUUAAUUUUGGUGAUUUGUAAGAUGUUAAUAGUGUGUAUGUAAAAAAAAAGAAAAGAAAAGAAAAGAAAAGAAAUAUAAUGAAAGUGUAUGUGUGUGUUUUAUUUUAAUUUUUAUAUAUUUUUUAUGAUAAAAUUGCAAAGAUUAAAGAAGAAUUUAAUAUUUUGAUUGGAUCACGGUCAAGAAUUAUUAACUUAUACGUAAGUUGUAUUUCUGAUAUCCGAUGAAAAGACAAUUAUUAAAACUUCUUUAACACAUCAAAAGCCAUGAAGCAGCUUACCUCAGGUAGGGUGCGUUAGGGGUGCUAAUACCUUCUCUAACCACAACCAGUCCCUUACCCGCGAAUCUCUGACAAGACCAGCACAGUCGGUUUCCUAGUAGCCUUCAAUAAAUUACUAGGUGGCGACUCCCAACGAACCAAUCAAACAAUACGCAUUAACGAGAAAAAUCACCAGCCAAUGCCGCGCGGAUUUUGACGUGCGACAAUUAUUAUAUAAAAACCUUUGAGGAAUUGUUUUUUUCAAUGAUGAAGCUAGCUUUCACUAGCUGUUUUUGGUUUGCCUAUAUAUCAACAUAAAUAAGCAAAUAAAAUGUCAAGAAGCAUGUGAAGCAUGAUUCACAUGUUUAUAAAUAGUAAGAGAACCUAUAAAAAAUCAAAUACAAAUAAUUGGAAGUCCUUUCAAAUAAAAGUUAAAGUCUAUCAAGAAAGGAUAUAAUUAAAUUCCUUAUCAAAUGAAAUCAAAACAAAUAAAAUCUCACCUGUUAAAACUUUCAAGCUCAUAUAAAAAUGUUAUAUCCCUCCAAAAUAAGUUCAAGAUCAAGCAUAGAAGGUUAUAAUAUUCAGAUAUGACUCUUAAUUAGGGAAUUUAUACACCUAAAACAUAUAUAAAGACUUUGAAUAUUACUUAGAAUUCUUAAUAAUCACAAUACUAGGUGUCGAAUUUAAAUCUUUUAAAUUAUAAAAAGGAUAAAAAUACUUUGCUAUUUUCAGACACCUAAAAAUCCAAUCUAGAACAACAAUAACGAUACAACAUACGUGCAACACGACCUCUUACUCUCUCUUUCUAUGGAAGUUUAUAUUUGGUAAAACAGUGUAUAAUGUUUUUUCAAUUGAAAAUAUAUUAAAAUAAUAUAUUUUUUUUAGAUUUUUUAACACCAAUAUAUUAAAAUUAUUAAAGAAAAAUUAAAAAAUUAUUAAUUUAAUACUUUUUUGAUAAAAAAUAAUUUUGAAAGCAGGUUUUUUCUAAAAAAAACACUCCCGAAGUUUUUUUUGCCUUAUGUAUCGAAAAACAAAUAUACUGAGUGAGUGAGGGCUAAAAAGAAGAGAGGGUCAGAAGAUAACUUAGUCAAAAUAAUGUCGGCAAAACGUGCAUGUCAUGUAGUCAUUUUCGGUGAUAGGUCAUUUUCACCAUUAUAUUUUUGUAGUCAUUGAAUAUUUAUGUUGAUAUUUAUAUUUAUAUAUUUAUAGUCACUGUCAUAUAUAUGCAGUUAUGUUCAUGACAGCUAAAUAUAUAUUUAAAAAAAAUGGAUUAACUUACUUUUUAAAAAUUAUAUUAACAUAUUAAUUAGUUUCUUUUGAAAUCAGAGAUACUUUAUAUAUAUAUAUAUCUUCGUAUUGACAUAUAUGAUAUAUUGCCAUAUAUAAAAAAAAUGAUUUUUUAUAAGAAAAUUAUUAUUAUUAUUAUUAUUAUUAUUAGAUAAAAAACAUGAAUAAUGUGUGGACACAUUUUUUUAUGAUAAAAAUAUCCUUAAGUUUUAUUAAUCAUUAAUGUAUUGAAAGGAUUUUAUCCAGCGGUUUUAAAAAAAUUAAUUUUUAUUAUUAAAAAAUAUUUUUUUUAUAUGUUUUUGAUCGUUUUGAUGCGCUGAUUUCAAAAAUAAUUUUUUAAAAAAUUAUUUUGAUGCAUUUCAACAUGAAAAUACUUUAAAAAGCGACUACAAUUAUACUCUCAAACAUGUUAUUUAAUCCCCAAUGCUUAUUUAGAUGAGAAAUUAUCAUUUUGAUGUAUUUUAGCAUGAAAAACAUUUAAAAAAAAAAACGACAACCACAAUCUCAAACAGGUUAUUUAGACCUCAAUGCUUAUUUAGAUGAGAAAUUAUUGUUCUUUAGUCUCUAAAUUAUCUUAUCUAGGGUUAAUUAUAAAAAGCAAAAUAAUCAACAUACAAAUUAGGAUAUAAAAAAUGAUAAGUAAUUAGAUUGAAUUUAAGUUAGAAAUAAACGUCAACCUUGUAAUAAUAAUUUUAGGUAUUUUCAGUGUUUUUUUCAUCUCCAGCUCGUGUUUUCUUUUGCGAUCUGUUGUUUUCACAUUAUUGUCAUAUGCUUCAAUAAUCUUCGCCAGCUCAGAGAUAUAUUGGAAAACGAAUUUAACCUAUUAUUAUUAUUAUUAUUAUUAUUAUUAUUAUAUAAGAAACCUUCGAGGGAUUUUUUUUUUCAAUGAUGAAGCUAGCUUUCACUAGCUGUUUUUGGUGUGCCUAUAUAUCAAGAUAAGUAAGCAAAUAAAAUGUCAAGGACCAUGUGAAGAUCAACUCAUUAUUUUGAUUUAUAGGUGUAUAUAUAUAUAUUGAAAGCAAAAACUUUAUGAUCUCAAGUAAGCAAAUAAAAUAAAUUGGAAAUCAAAAACUUUAUGUUUGUAUGUAAUAAAAUAAAAUAAGAAUUAUAUGUAUUAAUAAAUAUUAAAUAAAUUGUUAACACUAACUAAAAAUUGAGUUGAGAAGUUAAGAUAUAUAUAUAUAUAUAUAUAUAUAUAUAUAUAUAUAUAUAUAUAUAUAUUGUAGUACUGAGUAUGGUUUAAAGUGUUUUUCAUUUAAAAAUACAUCAAAAUAAUUUAUUUAUUUAUUUAUUUUAAAAUAUUAUUUUUAAUAUCAACACAUCAAAAUAAUCUAAAAACAUUAAAAAUUUAAAACUUAAAGAAACACGGUUUAAACCGCAUUCCAAACAGGUCCUAGUAUCUUGUCUACCCAAAAACAUAUGAAAAUGGCUAUAAAUAUAUAAAUGUGAACUUAAAAAUGAUUUCUAAGAGGUCAAGUAUAUUUAUACAUAAUAAUCCCUGUAAACUUAUUAAAUCUUUAUUUUAGCCCUUUAAUGUUGAAUCCUGGAUCCAUCUUUUUUUCUAUCAGCAGAUAGUCUUUUAUAUAUAUAAAAUAAAACCCACCGAUCAACCCACGGAGCAUGUGAAGUUACAAAUUUCAAAUGCAUGAAGGAAGACCCCAUAAUGAAAACGAUGUUUGUUUAUCUUAUAAAUAUAUUUGGAUGCAGCCUUCGCUGGUUCACACUCACCUGCAGACAAAAUUUCCAAGCGUCCUUUGAAGUUGAUGGAAAAAUUGAAUCAAUUGAUAGUGAGAGGGAAAGAUUGUGCAUUUCUUCGUUGUCGUUUAUUCCUUUACAAGACAGAUGCAUUAUUAAAAAAUUGCUUUGAAUCAUUUCCAUCAAUUGUCAAGUAUUUCAUAACAGUAAUUCGAUUCACUUGAAAAACUGGUUUUUCCUAUUCAAUUGCUUAAGCUCUAUUAAAAAACCGGACCGGAUCUAUUUUAGUUCAUAUAUAUAUAUACUUUUUUUAUUUAGUUCUCCGACUCCGGAUGAGUUUGGGCGUCCGGCGCCUCUUUUGAGGACGGGAGGAAAAAACAUAUAUAUCUACACCUUGCACCCUUUUAGGAAAAGAUAAAUCUUUAAGGAAAUAAAUUUUUUUUAUAACAUGUUUAUUAUUUUUAUUAAAACAAUGUAUAUUGAAGAUCAAAACAUAAUAUUUUUUAUAUAAAUAACUUAAUAAUUUCAAGUUUAAUCUCUAAUUUAAUAACAAGUUCAGUGAUAUUAACUUUAAAAUUUAAAAUAUUACAUUUAUAGAAAAAUGCAUGCUAAACAUUUGAAAUAUAACCUAUUUAUAUUUAGUUUGAUCCAUGUGGGACCAUUAAGCCAUAUGAAGAGAGGGGUUUAGCCUAAUUUCUUAGGAGUUUUUAAUAUUUAAUUUGUUUUACAUGGAGAACAAAUAUAGAAAAAAAAAUAUUAGCUUCCCAAAAAUAGUAUUUGAUGAUCUAUCUAGUUUUGAUCAAAUGCUACUACAUGUGCUGUAUAGAUAUAAUUAUGGAUUAAUUGAGCUGAGAAUUUAUAGAUACAAUUGUGACAUAACAACGAUUUAUAAUCUAAAAUAGUAAAGAUUAAAUUUAGAACAACCUAACUAGUGUUCUGUGCCCUAUUAAAACAUCAGGUUUUUGGAGUAUUCUGAAUUAGUUUGUGAUUUCUCCUAACAAAGAUGAAACUCUUUUAGUAGAUAACUAGAACACGUUCCUAUAUGAUAAACUUGAAUAUUAUAUGCUUGGAAAACUGCACAUAAUUAUAAAAUGUUUUUAAUAAAGCAUUUGAUGACUUUGAGAUGCCAAGAUGAAACUUAAUCAACAAAUCACUUAAACACGUUACAACUAGUUUUUUUUUUUUAAAAAAAAAAAACUAGUUGUUCCUUGUUUGGGUACAAUCUGAUUAUUUUUUUUUAAUUUCUUUUGUAAUACUGUUGGUCAUUUUUAUUAGAUAUGUAGCUAGUUCUCCUAAAUAAAUUAGUAUGGGUAAUUAAAGUGACUGCAAAGGGUAUUGAUACCGAUAAUCACUUGUUCACCACCGCUAAUCAAGUCUUGCUCUCUAGCUAUCUUAAUACCCAUAUAAAUCUAAAGUCGAAGCUCUGAUCAUUUCACAGCAGGUUCAAUGAAAUUAACAACAAAAUUGAUUACAAAUGUUUAUAUAUGCUGGAUAACUAAAACAUAAUUAAGCAAACCAACUUUUUUAAAAAUAAAAAUAAAUAGAACCACCUAUUGUCUGCAGAGCUUAAACCAAAUCCAAAACUAAACAUUUCGAAAAACUAAACAUUUCAAAGAGCAGAACAAGUUAGUGCUGACCUGAGGACGGAGAUCAGAGGACCGUGUCUGUAAAUAGAGUCCCUAGCCGCGAGCCUCUUCCUAUAUAUAUAUUGCAGCACCUCUCUCUCCCCCCCCCCCCCCCCCCCCCCUCUCUCUAAGUCUCUUGCCUUGUCUCUCUCCCUCUCUCUCUAUCUCUCUAAGUCUCUUGCCUUGUCUACCCAGAUGCACAAGACAAUGGCUAUAAUUAAGGGACUUAAUUCUAUAUGCUCUCUAGAUUCAAGCCUGGCAAGGGCGG
This 6039-nucleotide long non-coding RNA is filed under the name Populus tremula. RNAcentral describes it as "long non-coding RNA (PTRE_LNC003102)". Lineage: Eukaryota; Viridiplantae; Streptophyta; Magnoliopsida; Malpighiales; Salicaceae. The record is from RNAcentral.